Molecule: long non-coding RNA, 7486 nt
Filed under: Ananas comosus (pineapple)
Lineage: Eukaryota; Viridiplantae; Streptophyta; Magnoliopsida; Poales; Bromeliaceae
Description: long non-coding RNA (ACOM_LNC039349)
Source: RNAcentral
AAGUGGAAAGCGUGGUGGAGCUUCCAGGUGGAGUCGAAUCGACGCCGACGUCGCGCCGGGAAGCCGUGGAGCCGGUCGAGCGCGCGUUUGUUGCCGUAGCAUUGCGAGGAGGCCGGGCGAGGGUGUGAUUCCGCCGUUCUCGACGUCGCGCAGGAUUGGAUUUAGCGAGCGAGGUGGGUUAAUUAUCGGCUUAUACUCUUAAGUGUGCAAUAGUCAACAUGUGUAAUUUCAGAUUUUGUAUAGUUUACUUUAGCUCGAAUUCAUGGAUUUUGUUAUAGAUAGCAAAUCUGAAUUUGGAGCAUGUGGUAUUAAAUUGAGUAGUUUAUGCAUGUUGGACUUGGAAUUUGAAUUAGGAGAAAACCUGCGAUUUGGACCUGUCACAUGUUUAAACUGCCUGAUUUAGCUCUAGGAGCCGUUAUAAAAUUGUACUGUCGCAGUAUCUUCGAGACGAGUACUUCAGAUAGUUUAGAAUAUAUUUACGCUCGUGCUGGUGUGCCGAGUGGAUUUUUUACAGGGUCGUUCAGGUUGUUCCGGACUGUUGGGUGCCGUCAGGGUUGACGGUGGACCCGUAUCGCCUUUUUGGCGUCAGAUUGUGCUGAGGGCACGUUACCUAUUGGUUAUUAGACCAGUUUGAGUUGGUUACUUGACUUUGGCUUUUCAGAGCCUGAUUGAGCUCGACAGAGAUACGCUGCAUACUCGGUUGGGUAGCGCCCACGAGUGCCACUCCGGAGUCAGGCAUUGUGCUUUCGCGUUGGUGUCGCUCAUGCCAGUUGGACUUGCUCUCCACGAACCAGUUAGUGUGGAUAGAGCCUGAUAGUCGCAACAGGGCAGGGACGGGUGUAUUCACAGUCCCGGGGACGGGUAUGCUUACAGUCCCGAUUGGAUUGGGUCAGAUUUGAUAUUUACUACAGUUGGUUAGUGUAGAGCAUGAUAGUGUAGUGAUCGAUAGCGGUAGAGUUUACUUUCUGCUUUUCUGAGUACUCUUGCUCCAUUCUGUAGUCUUAGUGGGUGGACCGAUGUGGUUUUGGGCGGUACCCACUGAGGACUACUUGUUUUUACAGUAGUUCUCACGCCCAGUUGUUACCUCUGUUUUGUAGAGCCACAGGUUCCGGCUGCUGCGCCUUCCGCGGAUCAGGAUCGAGGCAAGGGCGUCGCGAGUUAGAGCCCUACCCGUCCUGCUGAGCUAGAGGUGCCCCUAUUGCAGGUAGAUGUUUUGUUUCGAGUUUUUGUACAUAGUAGACUUAACUCGCCAGUGCGAGUAGCUCUGUAUUUUGGAUUUGAACUAUGUAUAUGAAACUCAGUUUGUUUAGCUUUUGUUUUCUCUAGCAGCUCUCUACUACUGUUCGUAGUAGUGUUUGAUUUACAGGUACAGCUGUCGCUUCGUAUACAGGAAAAAUUUCUUUGUAUACGGCGGAUUUGUCGGCGUGCCCGGGGAACGAGACAUCCGGGGCGUGACAGAUUAAGUUGGUAUCAGAGCUUUGCUAUAGGUCGUUGGGACCUAGGAAAGCUAAGUUUGGCAAACCUUAGGAAAGCAAGACGCGAGAGGCGUAAUUUAUUGCGAAAGUCAAUGAUUAUUUGUCCUAACUCCUCCUAGAGUGGAGUGAGUGACUGAAGGAGUUCCUAUUUUGGCCUGAGAAAUUAUGUUGGCUGCAGACGACAUAAUUUUGGAGAAAAACAGGGACCGCCUUCCAGACUUUCGUUGAUUGGGUCGAGAGUGUUGCGUUGUAUCUGACCCCGAUUUGUUCCUUUCAGCUAUGUAUCGCCGUCGAGGUCGACCGUCGUUGCGAGAGCGUGCCCAGUUGACGCGGGAUCGUGCGGGAUCCCCUGAGAGACCUGAGCAAAUGGAGCAGAGUACUCGGCAGGAGCAGGGUGACAGACCAGAGGCGAGUGCACCCCCAGUUGUAGAUCAGAGGGCCCGACCGGAGGCUAGCGCCUCCCCUGAUCUGAGUGCACAGUUGGCCGCCCUGACUGAGGUGACGAGGCAGCAGGGGGAGUUAUUGCAGAGGUUGUGUGAGAGGAUAGCUCAGCCACCGAGUUCAGCACCGAGAGUACCAGAGUCGCCAGUGCCACCCCCGACUACUCCAGCCGUAGCACCAGCCACAGCUGUACCCCCACCAGCGGCAGUUCCAGUAGCGCCAGUUGCACCUCUUAGAAGACCGGUCCAGAUGACAGAGGCUGAGCAGGAGCGGAUAACAGAGAGGCUUGCUCGUUUUCGCCAUUUCGAUCCACCGACUUUUGAUGGCCGAUGUUCAGAGGAGUGGGUCGUCGAGGGCUAGGUUAGUGCGAUGGAGAAGCUGUUUGAGGAUUUAUAUGUUCCGGAGAGAGAGCAGGUAUCUUAUGGUGUUCACUGUUUGGCUGGCGACGCUCACGCCUGGUGGAAGAGGGUGAGGCGAGACUACAGGUUGGUAGCUUUGCAGAUGAGGUGGGACGAGUUCUGUGGAAUGCUGUAUGGGACGUAUUUUCCAGCAGUGUGAAACAGAAGCUCGAGAAAGAUUUGAAGAGGAUCCAGUAUGGGGAUCGGUAGGUACAGGAGUACAUUCGGGAGUUCACUCGACUCCUGAACUGUGUACCUUUUGUGGCUAGAGACGAGGCACACAGGGUGUACCUCUUUGAGCAGGGUUUGCGACCGGAGAUUUUCAGGCUCGUGCAUGCACAGAGGUUGAGGACCCUGGAUGCGUCCAUGGAGCAGGCACUUUGGGUUGAGCGGGGUGAUGUAUCCAUUCGGGAGAGGACUCAGGCAGUGGGGCAGAGUCAAGAGAGGAAGCGUCCAGCUCCAGACGAUGGCGGACAGUUGAGCAGCCGGCGUCCACCGAAACCUCCACGAUCGCGUUCUCAGGGUCGUGGGUCCUCGGGGCGUCAGCGUUCUGGGGUCAUCGAUAGCAGAGGCAGUCACAGGGGUUACCACCGUGCGUGAUUUGUGGGGGAUCACACUGGGCCCGACAGUGCGAGCAGCAUGAGGGCCGGUGUUUUGGAUGUGGGCAAGCGGGACACAUGAGGUCUGCUUGUCCCAGAGCAGAAUCACCAGCACCAUCGACCGCUUCAGCAUCACUAGCACCUCAGCAGUCUUUUGGAGCACCGCAGAGCUACCGCCAGGAGGACAGGGCGUCUGUGUCGCGUCAGGGUGAGCGGCGACAGCAGGCUCCGAGUGGCAGGGUUUAUGCAGCCCAGGUGGAGGACUCUAUAGCGGCCGACCGAGUGGUGGCAGGUAUCACUUUGAUUUCUGGCAUUAGAGUUCGCACUCUCUUUGAUACCGGUGCAUCUCAUUCGUUUGUUAGCCGAGCAUUUACAUUAUUGCAUGGUCUAGAGUUAGGAGUUUUGCCUCAGGCACGAGAGGUGCAGAUUCCAGACCAUGUCUUGCAGGUUGCGGAGUAUUGUUGGUUGUGUCAGGUGCAGUUGGACUCAUGGAUUAUGCCCGCAGACUUAUUGGUUUUAGGGCAGUUGCAGGACUUCGAUGUUGUGCUCGAUAUGGAUUGGCUGGCGCGGUACUAUGCUACGAUCGACUGUGGAGCGAGGACGGUGACGUUCCGUGAGCCUGGCCAAGAGGAGUUUACUUUCAGAGGCUGCAGAAGUACGUUGUUUGCCACCUGGAUCUCUUCGGCGAGGGCUCGACAGAUGCUGAGUAGCGGGUGUAUCGCUUUCCUAGCGACUGUUAUGGAGGUACCUACGGCAGCGCCGGGACUCGAGGACAUCCCAGUAGUCCGCGAGUUUUCUGAUGUGUUUCCCCCUGAGUUGACGACGUUGCCGCCGGAGAGGGAGAUUGAGUUUGUGAUUGAUGUAGUUCCUGGAACUGCACCAAUCUCAAAGGUACCUUAUCGGAUGGCGCCGGCAGAGCUGAGAGAGCUAAAGGCACAGCUUCAGGACUUGAUGGAUAGAGGGUUUGUGAGACCCAAUGUUUCGCCUUGGGGAGCGCCGGUGUUAUUUGUGAAGAAGAAGGAUGGUUCACUUAGGCUGUGUGUGGAUUACCGGGAGCUGAAUAAAGUGACCAUCAAGAAUAAGUAUCCCUUGCCGCUCAUUGAUAAUUUGUUUGAUCAGCUGCAGGGAUCUUAUGUCUUCUCGAAGAUUGAUCUCCAGUCAGGUUACCACCAGUUGAGGGUGAGGGCCGAGGAUGUUCCCAAGACGACUUUUCGGACUCGGUACGGGCAUUAUGAGUUCACGGUGAUGCCUUUUGGAUUGACAAAUGCCCCUGCCGCAUUCAUGGAUUUGAUGAACAGAGUGUUCAAGCCGUUCUUGGAUAGGUUUGUGGUAGUCUUCAUCGAUGAUAUUCUGAUUUACUCCCGGAGUGAUGCCGAGCAUGAGGAGCACUUGAGGACUGUGUUACAACUUCUGCGAGAGAAGAAGUUGUACGCCAAGUUAAAGAAGUGCGAGUUCUGGCUACGGGAGGUUGCUUUCUUGGGCCACGUGAUUUCAGCCGAGGGCGUAGCAGUGGACCCGAUGAAGAUUGAGGCAAUUCGAGAUUGGCCUAGACCGACGACGGUGACGGAGGUACGGAGUUUCCUGGGACUGGCAGGAUAUUACCGUCGGUUUGUGGAAGGCUUUGCGAAGCUUUCCACACCCCUCACUCGCUUGACGCGGAAGUGGAUUCGAUUUAUCUGGAGCGACGACUGUCAGAGAAGCUUUGACGAGUUGAGACUGAGGUUGACGUCGGCUCUUAUCCUUGCCCUUCCUGUUAUGGGCGAAGGAUUUGUGAUCUACAGUGAUGCAUCGCACAGUGGACUUGAUUUCGUGCUGAUGCAGUAUGGUAGGGUGAUUGCUUAUGCUUCACGGUAAUUAAAGGAUUAUGAGAAGAAUUACCCUACGCAUGACUUGGAGCUUGCCGCGGUGGUUUUUGCUUUGAAGCUCUGGCGGCAUUAUUUGUACGGCGAGCACUGCGAGGUCUUUACCGAUCACAAAAGUCUCAAGUAUCUGUUCACACAGAGGGAGUUGAAUCUGAGACAGCGCCGGUGGUUGGAGUUACUGAAGGACUACGACAUUAGUAUUCAGUAUCAUCCCGGCAGGGCGAAUGUAGUGGCAGAUGCGUUGAGCAGGAAGUCAGUGCAGAGCCUGAGUUUGAUGAGCACACAGCAGAGGCCGUUACUAGAGGAGCUACAGCGGAUGAGGCUCGAGAUAGUGUCCCCUGGAUCUAUUACGAGAUUAAUGUCUUUGGUGUUGCAGCCUACUCUGUUGGAUAGGAUCCGAGAGAAAUAGAGUAGAGAUCCAUACUUGUUGAGGAUUCAAGAGCAGCUGGAUAGGGGACAGGCUGAGGGUUUUGCUAUUGACAGUUCGGGAGUACUACGGUACAGGGACCGACUGUGUGUGUCUGUGGAUUCGGAGGUCCGAGAGGACAUUUUGAGAGAGGCUCAUUGUUCUCCUUAUACGGUUCAUCCUGGGGAAACCAAGAUGUAUAAGGAUUUAAAGGCACAAUUCUGGUGGAAUGGAAUAAAGAGGGAUAUUGGCAGAUAUGUGGCUCAGUGUUUGACUUGUCAACAGAUGAAGGCCGAGCAUCAGGUACCUGCUGGCAAGCUUCAGAGUCUGCCAGUGCCCGAGUGAAAGUGGGAACAGAUUACUAUGGACUUCGUCGUGGGGUUGCCGAGAGCACAGGGUGGAUAUGAUGCGAUUUGGGUGAUAGUGGACAGACUGACUAAGUCUGCUCACUUUCUACCUGUUUAGACCACCUGGUCCAGAGAGAGACUCGCACAACUGUACCUAGAUGAGAUUGUCAGGCUGCAUGGUGUACCAGUGUCGAUUGUAUCAGACAGGGACCCGAGGUUUGUAUCACACUUCUCGAGGAGUCUACAGACAGCCUUGGGUACACAGCUACAGUUCAGCACGGCGUUCCACCCAUAGAUAGAUGGUCAGUCAGAGCGGACCAUUCAGACUCUGGAGGACAUGCUGAGAGCAUGUGUCCUGAAUUUGGAGGAGGGUGGUAUCGACAUGUGAGACUGGUUGAGUUUGCGUACAACAACAGCUAUCAAACGAGCAUUCAGAUGGCUCCGUUUGAGGCAUUGUAUGGACGCAGAUGUCGAUCCCCUUUAUUUUGGAGCGAGGUGGGUGAGAGGAGAACACUGGGGCCUGAGAUUCUGCUAGAGGCUGAGGAAAACGUGAGAGUUGUUCGACGACACCUUUUGACAACCCAGAGCCGCUAGAGGAGCUAUGCCGAUACCAGGAGACGAGACUUAGAGUUUCAGGUAGGAUAGCAUGUUUUUCUCAAAGUCUCGCCGUCCAGAGGGAUUUGUCGAUUUGGAGUACGUGGAAAGCUCAGUCCACGUUUUGUUGGCCCUUUCGAGGUAUUGGAGUGAGUGGGACCAGUUGCAUACAGGAUCGCUCUACCCUCGCGACUAGCUGGCAUUCACGAUGUCUUCCACGUCUCAGCAUUGAGGAAAUAUAUUUUUGAUCCUUCUCACGUGAUCGACUUCACUCCACUAGAGAUUGGCGAGAAUCUAAGAUACGAGGAUCGACCGUUGCGGAUUCUUGCUCGGGAGACGAAAGAAUUGCGCAAUCGGGUUAUCCCGUAUGUAAAGGUGUAGUGGAGUAAUCACGAGGAGCGGGAGGCGACUUGGGAGCCUGAGACGGUGAUGAGGGAGUCCUAUCCCUAUCUGUUCGAUGCCCUAAGCUGAGGUAUGUUUAAGUUUCGAGGACGAAACUUUUUGUAGUAGGGGAGGAUGUAAUAUCCUAGGUUGAAAUAGAGUUGGUAAAAGGGGCCUAUAUUUUUUUUACCAAACCUUAUCAGCUCCACCGCCUAUAUUUUUACCAAUCCUUAUCUUGUUCACCACGUUAUAUAGAGGUGGCAUGCAGGAGCUUUGUUGUAGCCUAAUUAAUUAACUCUCUCUCUAGGUUGAAGUGGAAAGCGUGGUGGAGCUUCCAGGUGGAGUUGAAUCGACGCCGACGUCGCGCCGGGAAGCCGUGGAGCCGUUCGAGCGCGCGUUUGUUGCCGUAGCAUUGCGAGGAGGCCGGGCGAGGGUGUGAUUCCGCCGUUCUCGACGUCGCGCAGGAUUGGAUUUAGCGAGCGAGGUGGGUUAAUCAUCGGCUUAUACUCUUAAGUGUGCAAUAGUCAACAUGUGUAAUUUCAGAUUUUGUAUAGUUUACUUUAGCUCGAAUUCAUGGAUUUUGUUAUAGAUAGCAAAUCUGAAUUUGGAGCAUGUGGUAUUAAAUUGAGUAGUUUAUAUAUGUUGGACUUGAAAUUUGAAUUAGGAGAAAACCUGCGAUUUGGACAUGUCACAUGUUUAAACUGCCUGAUUUAGUUCUAAGAGCCGUUAUAAAAUUGUACUGUCGCAGUAUCUUCGAGACGAGUACUUCAGGUAGUUUAGAAUAUAUUUACGCUCGUGCUGGUGUGCCGAGUGGAUUUUUACAGGGUCGUUCAGGUUGUUCCGGACUGUUGGGUGCCGUCAGGGAUGACGGUGGACCCGUAUCGCCUUUUUGGCGUCAGAUUGUGCUGAGGGCACGUUACCUGUUGGUUAUUAGACCAGUUUGAGUUGGUUACUUGACUUUGGCUUUUCAGAGCCUGAUUGAG